This is a long non-coding RNA of Gadus macrocephalus (Pacific cod), 617 nucleotides long. RefSeq lists it as uncharacterized. The transcript has 2 exons. The record is from RefSeq and is a predicted model, not a curated record. NCBI's taxonomy places the organism in Eukaryota, Metazoa, Chordata, Actinopteri, Gadiformes, Gadidae.
AUAACCUAAUGCUUUGAACUAGAAUCACAGAAUUAUAAAUCUGUUUGAUCAACACUAUCGUACCAACUUUGUCAAAGUCAUAGUCUAAUUUAAGCAUGUUAUCUUUUCCUUCUCUUAUAUUAAGAACAGACAAUAACCAAAUGGAGCUCACUGUUUUACUGUUAGUCUUGACCACAGACAGCAGUCAUGCAGACCAAACACAGUAGAGAACAAAGACAGAACCCUGUUCAUAUCAGGGGAGCCCUACUGCUCAGGUCAGAUGUAUUGCUCUUCCUGAGUUUCUGGUCUGUCUGUUCACGUUGUGUUUUAAACGUGGUCGAUACGACGACUGUGGAUCUAGAGUGACGUCAGAGUCACAUUACGAUACGACUGAUCAACCUGAGGUCUGCUGCUGCUCUGGGCUUCAACACACACACAGCUUUUACUCAGACUAAUGAUGGAGUCAUGAUGUAUCACUGCUGAGCUCUGAGAUGGACAACAGUCACAGACAGAGAGAUCCUCUUCUUACCUCUUAGCUUUGCUCCGGGGGCCGAGUUCCCCAGACAGAGCGGUCUUAGGGGUAGAAUCCCCCUCCUCUCUCUCCUCAUCCAUAGUAGAAUGGAGAAAAUACGUUCCGU